RNAcentral lists this ribosomal RNA (261 nucleotides) under uncultured archaeon. Its description in RNAcentral is "partial 16S ribosomal RNA". It matches the Rfam family "Archaeal small subunit ribosomal RNA", at positions 748 to 1009 of the family's 1478-position model. The record is from RNAcentral.
CAGCCGUAAACUAUGCGCGUUAGGUGUAUCGGUGACCACGAGUUACCGAGGUGCCGAAGGGAAACCGUGAAACGUGCCGCCUGGGAAGUACGGUCGCAAGGCUGAAACUUAAAGGAAUUGGCGGGGGAGCACCACAACAGGUGGAGCCUGCGGUUUAAUUGGACUCAACGCCGGGAAGCUCACCGGAUAGGACAGACAUAUGAUAGUCGGGCUGAAGACUCUACUUGAUGAUCUGAGAGGAGGUGCAUGGCGUAGACGUCU